This 1265-nucleotide ribosomal RNA is filed under the name uncultured bacterium. RNAcentral describes it as "bacterial SSU rRNA". It matches the Rfam family "Bacterial small subunit ribosomal RNA", at positions 224 to 1504 of the family's 1533-position model. The record is from RNAcentral.
GAUGAGCUCGCGUCUGAUUAGCUAGUUGGUGAGGUAAUGGCUCACCAAGGCUUCGAUCAGUAGCUGGUCUGAGAGGAUGAUCAGCCACACUGGGACUGAGACACGGCCCAGACUCCUACGGGAGGCAGCAGUGGGGAAUUUUCCGCAAUGGGCGAAAGCCUGACGGAGCAACGCCGCGUGAGGGACGAAGGCCUCUGGGCUGUAAACCUCUUUUCUCAAGGAAGAAGAUAUGACGGUACUUGAGGAAUAAGCCACGGCUAAUUCCGUGCCAGCAGCCGCGGUAAUACGGGAGUGGCAAGCGUUAUCCGGAAUUAUUGGGCGUAAAGCGUCCGCAGGCGGCUUUUCAAGUCUGCUGUUAAAGCGUGGAGCUUAACUCCAUCAUGGCAGUGGAAACUGAAAGGCUUGAGUAUGGUAGGGGCAGAGGGAAUUCCCGGUGUAGCGGUGAAAUGCGUAGAUAUCGGGAAGAACACCAGUGGCGAAGGCGCUCUGCUGGGCCAUUACUGACGCUCAUGGACGAAAGCCAGGGGAGCGAAAGGGAUUAGAUACCCCUGUAGUCCUGGCCGUAAACGAUGAACACUAGGUGUCGGGGGAAUCGACCCCUUCGGUGUCGUAGCUAACGCGUUAAGUGUUCCGCCUGGGGAGUACGCACGCAAGUGUGAAACUCAAAGGAAUUGACGGGGGCCCGCACAAGCGGUGGAGUAUGUGGUUUAAUUCGAUGCAACGCGAAGAACCUUACCAGGGUUUGACAUCCUGCGAACUUCUUAGAAAUUUGAGGGUGCCUUCGGGAAUGCAGUGACAGGUGGUGCAUGGCUGUCGUCAGCUCGUGUCGUGAGAUGUUGGGUUAAGUCCCGCAACGAGCGCAACCCACGUUUUUAGUUGCCAGCAUUUAGUUGGGCACUCUAGAAAGACCGCCGGUGAUAAACCGGAGGAAGGUGUGGAUGACGUCAAGUCAUCAUGCCCCUUACACCCUGGGCUACACACGUACUACAAUGCUACGGACAAAGGGCAGCAAACUCGCGAGAGCUAGCAAAUCCCGUAAACCGUGGCUCAGUUCAGAUCGUAGGCUGCAACUCGCCUACGUGAAGUAGGAAUCGCUAGUAAUCGCAGGUCAGCAUACUGCGGUGAAUACGUUCCCGGGCCUUGUACACACCGCCCGUCACACCAUGGAAGUUGGCCAUGCCCGAAGUCGUUACUCCAACCCUUGUGGAGGAGGACGCCGAAGGUGGGGCUAAUGACUGGGGUGAAGUCGUAACAAGGUAACCGUA